RNAcentral lists this long non-coding RNA (350 nucleotides) under Bos taurus (domestic cattle). Its description in RNAcentral is "long non-coding RNA NONBTAT024217". Lineage: Eukaryota; Metazoa; Chordata; Mammalia; Artiodactyla; Bovidae. The record is from RNAcentral.
AAGAAAAUUGCUGAGUCUGUGCUUCCCUUUCUGAGAUCUUUCCAGCAGAACAUAGCAUGUUUCCGUGCACCAUCCCUCCACUCUACCUGAAGCAUACAUUCCUGGUUGAUUUAAUUUGUUCGAGUCUGAUUUUGGGUAUUCUCAUAAAUUUGUACUAUGUAUAAAAAAAGGAAAGGAAAGACAUGCUUUCCCAGUAAACUCUCCCUCCAGAGGCCCUUUAUUCAAAGGGGCUUUGGUAGUUUCUUUCCCUAGAUUAGAGAUCCUGGUACCAUGUUUCCCAAAACUAUACUGUUUGAGUCCUGAUUAACUUAGUUUGAGUAAAACCUUUUUUGAUUAUCAGAAAAAAGUAG